UUGGAGGUUAAGGAGACUUCUAAUCCCCUAAGGCUCAGGCCCUCUGUU
RNAcentral lists this transfer RNA (48 nucleotides) under Xiphinema pachtaicum. RNAcentral's name for it is "tRNA-Ser". Lineage: Eukaryota; Metazoa; Nematoda; Enoplea; Dorylaimida; Longidoridae. The record is from RNAcentral.